GGGGGGGGGGGGGUGUGUGGGUGUUUCUCGGCUACAUUAAUCGAUAAAUCUACUGAGUCAAAUUCUGAUACUCUUAUGCGAAUCGAUGAAUCUUCCCCUUUCAACAAAACAUCCGAUGGAGAUCUGCACACUAUAUAUGUCUAAGGUCUCGAGCCAAGCUGACAUUCAAGCGCCGUCUCAUGCCCAUCUAACUAAUUUCUUAAGGUUCGUAACUUGAGAUCUCUCCUCUCUGUUUAUUAUUUAGAUAUUGGUUAUCAUGUCCCUGUGGGUUUGAGAAAUGAAUUGUCUUUCCUUGAAUUCAAUUCUAGAUUUUUAAAUUUCAGUUAUUUUUAGAUUUUGUAUGGUCUGGGACUCUGGGUUUUUACUCUUUGUUUUCCAGUUGUUUACAGUGUGAUGCUGCAUCUUUUGUUUUCACUUGCUCAGUGGACUGUUUCUAUCUAGAUUGUUUUACUUUAUGUGAAUGGAAGAUGGGUUGAAUAUGCAUUCUGAUUUCUUAAGCUACUUUGAUGGAUUUUGCGGUGUAGAUUAAUUAUUCUUAAAAUUCUGGCUUUUCUGGGUUGCAAGAAAAAGGUUAUUAGCAGAUUCUUCUGUAGGUCAAACCCAUUGUGUUUAUCGCUGCCAUUUAUCGGGCCAGUUCAUCUCAAGGAUGCUCUGAACAUUGCAACGCAUUCCCUCGUUGAUAUGGAAGAGCUGAGGCAAGACUCAUAAAGGAAGCACGACUGGCGGAGGAGGCUAGAGUUACAGAGGAGACAGCCUAAACAGCAAAAGAGGAGGCUAAUUAAAACAGCUUAAGAGGCUGAGUCUGGGAACUUUGGUAUCCAUUUCUAGAUUACUAUUAUCUAUGCUACUACUAAAGUCUUAUACUAGCUACAGUACUACCAUGACUCUUAAAUUUGCGUACGUAUGGAUUUAGUAGUGUUGAACCAGAUGAUAUUAAGGAACCUUUUACUGAGGUAAAUUUCUCUAUUGUCCUCUAUUUUUGCUUUUUACGUGGUUCAGUAGAUUCCUUUUAAUUUUGUUCUAGUCUUAUAGAUAGUAGUAAACUAUUAUACUUGUCAUGUGAUGCUGCCUGUCUGAUUGGAGACAUCUUUUAUUAUGUGUACCAUUAUUGUUAAUCAGUGAUGAGCUUGUAUCCUCGUCUUAGUCGUAGGGUUAAGUUGAAAUGCUGAAAGACAGAAUUAUAUUGUUGCUCAAUCGGAAUAUAUAUGCAUCAAUAAAGCUUAUAGACACAGGAUUAUCGUUUCUAUACCCAACUAAAUGGAUUAAACCAGCCAUUCAAUGUAAGUUUUUACUGAAGAACAAAACUAUAUCCAAUUUGUAAGACACCCACCUUGGUCUAGUUUUUUUUUCCAAAAUCUAGACAUAGACUUUGAAGUGGUUGGUCAAAAACUUCAAACACUGGCUUUUAGUUUGGCAAGAAGUAGGUGUGGGAUUAGGAGAAGGAAGAUGUCACAAGGAUUGUACUACAUAAAGAUUUGGUGGUUAUGACCAGUAUCCAUGUUCAAGAAGAAUUACGAUCAUGUACCAAAAGAUACAUACUUUGGAAUGUACAAAGAAUCAACCUGUGGCAACCCAAACUACUUUCUGACUUAUGGAAAUGAGAAAUCAGCUGCUCAAAUCCAAGAUCAUUUCCGUCCAAAUGGUGCACACAGAUGGCACAAUUAUAUGAAAACCCCAAAUGAGAUCAGACUGGAAGAGGCUGCUGUUCUACACUGCAUAUAUGCCAAAUUUUCGGACUUAACGUCAAGACAUGAUCGGUGUGGCUGCAAGCCUACAAGAGAAUAUG
Molecule: long non-coding RNA, 1786 nt
Organism: Rosa chinensis
Lineage: Eukaryota; Viridiplantae; Streptophyta; Magnoliopsida; Rosales; Rosaceae
Exons: 3
Source: RefSeq, a predicted model, not a curated record